RNAcentral lists this ribosomal RNA (535 nucleotides) under Roseivirga spongicola. Its description in RNAcentral is "bacterial SSU rRNA". It matches the Rfam family "Bacterial small subunit ribosomal RNA", at positions 381 to 917 of the family's 1533-position model. Lineage: Bacteria; Pseudomonadati; Bacteroidota; Cytophagia; Cytophagales; Roseivirgaceae. The record is from RNAcentral.
AGCUGACCAGCCAUGCCGCGUGCAGGAAGACGGCCUUCUGGGUUGUAAACUGCUUUUCUACGGGAAGAAAAUGCCCUUGCGAGGGAAAUUGCCGGUACCGUAGGAAUAAGCACCGGCUAACUCCGUGCCAGCAGCCGCGGUAAUACGGAGGGUGCAAGCGUUGUCCGGAUUUAUUGGGUUUAAAGGGUGCGUAGGCGGAUCUUUAAGUCAGUGGUGAAAGCCUGCAGCUUAACUGUAGAACUGCCAUUGAUACUGGAGGUCUUGAGUACACUAGAGGUAGGCGGAAUUUAUGGUGUAGCGGUGAAAUGCAUAGAUACCAUAAAGAACACCUAUAGCGUAGGCAGCUUACUGGAGUGUAACUGACGCUGAGGCACGAAAGCAUGGGGAGCGAACAGGAUUAGAUACCCUGGUAGUCCAUGCCGUAAACGAUGAUUACUCGAUGUUGGCGAUAUACUGUCAGCGUCCAAGCGAAAGCGUUAAGUAAUCCACCUGGGGAGUACGCUCGCAAGAGUGAAACUCAAAUGGAAUUGACGGA